This 514-nucleotide ribosomal RNA is filed under the name Parnara naso. RNAcentral describes it as "partial 16S ribosomal RNA". The stretch from base 387 to 514 matches the Rfam family "Bacterial large subunit ribosomal RNA", at positions 2473 to 2600 of the family's 2925-position model. Lineage: Eukaryota; Metazoa; Arthropoda; Insecta; Lepidoptera; Hesperiidae. The record is from RNAcentral.
GUCUUUUUGAUUUUAAUUUAAAGUCAAAUCUGCCCACUGAUUUAUAUUAAAGGGCUGCAGUAUAUUGACUGUACAAAGGUAGCAUAAUAAAUAGUCUUUUAAUUGAAGACUUGUAUGAAAGAUUUGAUGAGAUAUAAACUGUCUCUUUUUUAUAUUUAGAAUUUAAUUUUUUAGUAAAAAAGCUAAAAUUAAUUUAAAAGACGAGAAGACCCUAUAGAGUUUUAUAAUUAAUUUAUUUAUAUGUUUAUAUAUAUAAAUUAAAAUUUAAGUAAUUUAAUUAUUUUGUUGGGGUGAUAGAAAAAUAAAUUUAACUUUUUUUAAAAUAUUACAUUAAUUAAUGAAUAUAUGAUCCAUAAAUUAUGAUUAAAAGAAAAAAUUACCUUAGGGAUAACAGCGUAAUUUUUUUUUUUAGUUCUUAUAGGAAAAAAAGUUUGCGACCUCGAUGUUGGAUUAAGAUAAAAUUUAAAUGUAGAAGUUUAAAAUUUUUGAUCUGUUCGAUCAUUAAAAUCUUACA